GGGGACGUUACGGAUUCGACAGGGAUAGUUCGAGCUUGGAUUGCGAGUCGGGGGGAUCGGCCUCGUUACAAACGUCAAAGCCAAUAAUAACUGGCAAAACUAAUAACAACCUAGCUUUCGCUGCCUAAGAACAGUCGAUAGCUGAUCCUCCGUGCAUCGCCCAUGUGCUACGGUAAGGGUCUCAAAUGAAGUGGGAUACGAUUUUAAGUCUCCGUCUGGGGCUUAAAAGAAGAGCAUAAUCAGACUAGCUUUGCGAAAGCCUGUUGUCGGGCUGCUGCAUAUGCGAAACCCUAAUACGAUGACUACGCUCGUAGAAGUCUAAGUGCCGUUAUUUCUGGACGUGGGUUCGACUCCCACCGUCUCCAUUA
RNAcentral lists this transfer-messenger RNA (368 nucleotides) under Listeriaceae. Its description in RNAcentral is "Listeria_A booriae Standard tmRNA". It matches the Rfam family "transfer-messenger RNA". Rfam says of the family: Bacterial tmRNA, also known as 10Sa RNA or SsrA, is named for its dual tRNA and mRNA-like properties. Its role is to liberate the mRNA from a stalled ribosome. The record is from RNAcentral. Lineage: Bacteria; Bacillati; Bacillota; Bacilli; Caryophanales. RNAcentral also lists the same sequence under 1 other name.